UACGUAGGGUGCAAGCGUUAAUCGGAAUUACUGGGCGUAAAGCGUGCGCAGGCGGUUUUGUAAGUCUGUCGUGAAAUCCCCGGGCUCAACCUGGGAAUUGCGAUGGAGACUGCACGGCUAGAGUGCGGCAGAGGGGGAUGGAAUUCCGCGUGUAGCAGUGAAAUGCGUAGAUAUGCGGAGGAACACCGAUGGCGAAGGCAAUCCCCUGGGCCUGGCACUGACGCUCAUGCACGAAAGCGUGGGGAGCAAACAGG
Molecule: ribosomal RNA, 254 nt
Filed under: uncultured bacterium
Lineage: Bacteria
Description: partial 16S ribosomal RNA
Rfam family: Bacterial small subunit ribosomal RNA
Source: RNAcentral